GCUCUGCCCGUCAGCACUCAGCUGUUGCUGCUGCUGCCUGGCCUUUUCCUGCUGCCUGCUCUGGAGCACCAACCCCAGCAGGAUGAGCACUGCUGCGCCAGUGGAGGUACUGUGCCAUUCCAGGGAGGAGGCAGCCUGCUUGAGCAGGCUGCAGCCAUGUGGCAAUGGAUGGUGUGGGACAGGAACCCCACUGUGAGAUUGUGCUGUCUCUUGCAGACUAACAGAGACACUGUGGUGGCGAUGGAAGUGGACAUGGUGCUGAAUGAGGAAGAGAUGAUGGAGGUGGACGUGGAAGACCAGGUUGAGGAGAUGGAAGUUGAUGAGGAGGAUGACAUCGAGGCGAUGGAAGUGGAUGAGAAGGAUGAGGAGGAGCCCAUGGUCCUUGGAUGAAGAUGGAGCCCCACAAGACUGAUGCAGAUGAUGGCUGUAGAUAUUACGGCGGUGUAUAUAUGUUUGAAAAGUUAGGAUAUUUUUGUAAAUAUGUUCUUAGGUUAGUAGUUCUUUGUAAAUAUGUUUUGAAGAUUGUUACUCCAUAGGAUCCCAUGGAAAUAUGUGCAGUAGAUUGUUGUUGUUGUUGUUAUGAGGAUUGUUGUAAUGAAAUGUGUUCUGUAAAUCCUCGUGUUUGCCGAUGUUCAGCAAAUAAAUAAUGAUUCUUUAUAAAA
Molecule: long non-coding RNA, 662 nt
Organism: Passer domesticus (house sparrow)
Lineage: Eukaryota; Metazoa; Chordata; Aves; Passeriformes; Passeridae
Exons: 2
Source: RefSeq, a predicted model, not a curated record